Molecule: long non-coding RNA, 659 nt
Organism: Cyprinus carpio carpio
Lineage: Eukaryota; Metazoa; Chordata; Actinopteri; Cypriniformes; Cyprinidae
Source: Ensembl
UAGCUCUGGACAAAGACUGAUUACUUCUACACAAUAUAACAAGGAAAAAAGCUUGUGGCAACUGUCUUCUCUGAACAGCUGUCUUGUGAACAUGGGCCUCAGUACAAUAAAGGUAAGGUAUUUCAGGUUUUGGACUCAAUCAUGUGCUACGCUUUAUUUGCAAUUUCAAAUAAUUUCUUGCAGUUCCAGAAUACCUGUAACUGUAUUUCUGUAUUUGUAACUGUAUUUCUUUUCACAGAUCUAAGAGGACACUUCACACCCUACAACCCGUAAAAAUAACCCAGAUUUGACAGAACUACACACCCAUCUGAGGCCUACUGUACCUGUUUUACUUUCAUGAUCACUGCAGAUACUUCUACAAUUGACCCGCUUUGUGUCUGAUGUUGAUGCGGUCUGGGCACUAGUAUCUGUUGGCUUGCUGACUAUCACUGAAGAUGAAGUACUUCUCCAAAUCUUCUUUGCCUUGACCCUGUGUCUUCUGCCAUCAUUGUUCAGUGUAGUACUGCAAAGAACAGUCUCCAGGGUCUACCUCGAACAUUUGCUUCCGGACCGCCAUGUGCUACAUUUGGAUUACUGGUACAUGUGGAUUACCCUGAUACUGUGAAGAACACUUACAAUAUGAUGCUUGACGACUUGGGACAGAAAAAAACAAAAAGCAG